This is a long non-coding RNA of Pyrus x bretschneideri (Chinese white pear), 2373 nucleotides long. RefSeq lists it as uncharacterized. Lineage: Eukaryota; Viridiplantae; Streptophyta; Magnoliopsida; Rosales; Rosaceae. The record is from RefSeq and is a predicted model, not a curated record. The transcript has 14 exons.
UCUCUCCCGACUCUGUCUGUAACCAUCCAUCCGCUCUGACGUUUGAGCGCAUCUUAGGUUGGGGAGGAGGGCGACGACGAAUCCGCUCCGAGUGAACUCGGCUUCCGCCGCAACCCACUCAUCGUCUUCGUUUCGCUUCAAAGAUCCGAGCUUAUCUACAUGUCGUCUUGAGUUGGAGGCUUUGGCUCUGUUGGGUUUUUUUCCAAUAGCUCAAAGGGCCGAAAGGGGUUCACCAUGAACCACCUCUUUUUGCAGCUAUUAUACUUUGAUUAGGAAAAGAUUGGUGGAUUUAGCCUUUGCCUACAGAAUUUUGGGUCGUUGGUGGAACAACUUGGUUGCUUGACAUUAUAAGGUUCACAUACAAAUGUGACUAGCGGUUACAGUUCCAUAAGGAGGUGGAAGCAGAAGAAGAAUUGGCGUCACCCUUCAGUUUUUCAACCAAAAGGAGGUACUAUGAGUUGGGACCCGACAAUCUACCAUAUGCUGCCAAGUUCUAUGACUUCUGUGGGGCUGAGGGUCUUGAGGCAUCCAGCUGCACUACCAGUUUCCAUGUUUUGUAUGAUGACAAUUGAUUCAUAUUUUCAGUUUUUAAACAAUAAGAUAAUGUAACCGUUCAAACUCCAGAGUGCUUUGUCAUUAAGGUAAAUGAUUUUCGUUUGUUGCUUUGUGCCUUUUGUGAUUAAGAAAGUUUAGUCAUUUGUUUAUUCACAUAUUAAUUAAUUGGUGAGAGGAUGAAAUAUUUCACUGCUGGUUACUAAGAAACUAAUAGAAUCUGACAGAAACGAAUAGAAUCUGACAGAAGAGUUUUCGUUUCUUUUUCUUUGCUUGCAUUAAUUUUGUAUUGUUUUUUUAUUUUAGAAUUCUUUGUGCAUAUUUUUGGGGAUUUUUAUUUGGUUAGAGAAAGGGGAAGAAUAUAGGGAGAGGAGAAUUAUAUCCUUCAAUAGAAAUGCUGCAUUCGUAUUUAUGUAAUUGGUUCCAGGGUUGAAAAAACAGUUAAGUUAUUAUAUGGAAAAGUUAGAAUAUAAUUGCUAUAUAUGGAAGAGUUGGAAUAUAAUUACCAGGACAAAAUGUUAAGCCUGCUCUCUUUCAACCUUAAAUACAUUCUCUUUUCUAUUUGACAAUUGUUGAUUUAUUAUAAUUUUUAUGCUUUGCCUGCAUGUUGAUGCAACCGAUAUUCAUGGGCAAUUUCACGACCUUCCAGAGCUUUUUCGAAUUGGAGGGAAGGUAUCAGAUCUUAAAUACCAAAUCUUCAGGUGAAUUGGCCCUUGCCAUUACCUGGAAAUGACUCCUCUCACUCCCAAAAGAUAAAUUCAGAAAUUCGACGGGUAAUUUUUGGUUAAACGGCAAGCAAAUGUCGUCCUAAGUGUCGUCAUCCUUCUUGGUACAAGGCCACAGCGCAACCACACACCACCCUUCUGCUCCUACUGGUGAGGUAAUAAACGUGGUCCAACCAGAAUCUGAUAAAAUGUCAUUGUAUAUAUGCUUUUCUCGAUUUCUGCUACGAUAAUGAGGGAAUAGAGAGGAUUGCGGCCAGUCAAUCUGAGGUUGAUCAAUUUUGAAUUCGGAAUUCCCUUGGAAACUGUCACAAGUGGUGUGUCUGUUGUGGUUACAUGAAUCAAAAGCGAGUGAAAGGUAAAGCUUCUCUCCAAACAUUCAUCACCAGCAAUUCCAAUCAGAGCCAGGUGCUGCUCGAGACGAUGUUGGAACGUGCAGGUGAUAAGGAUUCAGGGGAUGAGGAGGAAAUGGCAAAGGAGGAGGACCAAAACGCGUUCUCUGUUAGGAUAAUUGGUGCCCUGAAUGCCAUAAAGUCUGCACUCACCACUCAUUAAUUAUAUGGUGAAAGUUUUUACGCAACCUCAUUACUUGGAAAAUUUUGUUCAAUCAACAUUCAAUGCCCUGCCAUCAGAUCAAGUUAAAGUAAGGAGAAAGCUACUACUCUUAUGGAGCUUCUUUGGCUUGGUUAUUCUCAAUCCACAGAUAGUGAUUAUUUAACGACUUCUCCAAACUUCGCUACUCAGCUUUUCAAGUACUUGCAAUUUAUUCUUAAUCAUUCUAAAUUAUUCUUAAUCAUUUACAACUUGCAGAAUUAGUUAAAUGUAUCAAAUGACUAGCAUGUGAAUUUGUGUGUGCGGCUAAAAAUAAUCUUAUCCUUAAGGAUUAUUGAUUGGGCAAAUUUGGUUGAGUAAAUUUAGGGUUAUUAAUUGGGCUAAUUUGGUUGAUUAGUUGAUCCGAAUUGGAUGGGUUUGAGGGUUAGUUUCUAGGAAUGUUCCAUUGAUGUUCUUUUUCUUCUACACAGUUACCAAAAUCUCAAGUCCCCAUUUGAUCCUCGAGUACGACACAAUCAUAUUUGCUAUAAUACAAUCAUAUUCUUGA